ACACAUACAUGUAGAGCCAUAGCACAGGUGAGCUUGCUCCUUGGCUGACGAGCGGCGGACGGGUGAGUAAUGUCUGGGAAAUUGCCCGAUGGAGGGGGAUAACUGCUGGAAACGGUAGCUAAUACCGCAUACGGUCUCAAGAGCAAAGCAGGGGACCUUCGGGCCUUGUGCCAUCAGAUAUGCCCAGAUGGGAUUAGCUAGUAGGUGAGGUAAUGGCUCACCUAGGCGACGAUCCCUAGCUGGUCUGAGAGGAUGAUCAGCCACACUGGAACUGAGACACGGUCCAGACUCCUACGGGAGGCAGCAGUGGGGAAUAUUGCACAAUGGGGGCAAGCCUGAUGCAGCCAUGCCGCGUGUGUGAAGAAGGCCUUCGGGUUGUAAAGCACUUUCAGCGAGGAGGAAGGUUCUGUAGUUAAUAUG
This 420-nucleotide ribosomal RNA is filed under the name Serratia sp. (in: enterobacteria). RNAcentral describes it as "bacterial SSU rRNA". It matches the Rfam family "Bacterial small subunit ribosomal RNA", at positions 51 to 466 of the family's 1533-position model. Lineage: Bacteria; Pseudomonadati; Pseudomonadota; Gammaproteobacteria; Enterobacterales; Yersiniaceae. The record is from RNAcentral.